Long non-coding RNA from Felis catus (domestic cat), 1056 nucleotides. RefSeq lists it as uncharacterized. Lineage: Eukaryota; Metazoa; Chordata; Mammalia; Carnivora; Felidae. The transcript has 4 exons. The record is from RefSeq and is a predicted model, not a curated record.
AGGCACUGGGAGGCCCUCUGAGCGACGAUGUCCCAUCUGUACCCUUCUGCCACGUUGUGGGUGGGGUCAGCUGGAUCCAGGAUGACAGGCCUGCAACACAGGGAGAGGGUUCCCAGACUCUCUCCCGUCUGGAGGCCAGCAAACUAGAAAGAAUCCUGCUCAAGCGAUCAUCUGUUCCAGCCACUGAGCACGUGCUGUGUCUGGAGCCCUGGGAGGGCUGUCAGGCCGAGAGGACCCAAGAACAUUGGUGGAGAAGAAGCGAGUGGGGAUGAUUAUAUUUCCAAGAGUUCCUUUUGGGGAGAGAUCCCCAUCCACCGGCCACCACUGUUGCUUGCAAUCCUUCUCCUUGAGAUUUUUCUGGAAGCACAAUGCCUCCGUGGAUUACAAUUUUGGCGGGACCCCUUUCAACUAAAACUCGGUCCAAGAGGGGAAGAAACUUUCUAAACGCCUGUUCUGCCAUCACUCCGGCCGCCCCAGUUGGUACUCCGAAAGACGGCCACCUGGAGGUGUGCCCCGAGUCACUGAAGAAAACAUUCAGCGCUCAAGCAAACAGACAAAGCAAGCAAAUGAAUCAUUCUUUCGGGUUCAGAUUCUUCAAGUCCACAAAACCUUGCAUCAUUUCCUGUUUCCUUAAUGUCUGCUUUGGAUUUCUUUCUCGGGGAUUUAUUCCAAACUCCUGACCCCAGAAGCAGAGAACCAGUUCCAGGUAAGAAAGCUGGGCUCCUCAAGCAGUGUGCUGCUGAACGCUGUGCUUUUGUGGCAUGCAUCACUAAUGCAUCUGGGCACUCUCUUUCUUGCUCACGUAGGAUCCCACUUCUGACACCUUCUCUACAAAGCAACUCCUGGCAACCACUCUAGUUAACAGGAGCUGGCACAAGAGGAAACAUGAUCAUCUGAGGUUGUAGCUGAUACUGUUUACUUCAAACAUCAAGGACUCUUUGCCUGAGGACAAACCAGAAGUGCUGGGGAGUUAAUGGUCCUGGGAAGCAGCCGUCAGCCAAGGGUGACUGCGAAAUCGGGGAAUAAACUCCAACAUCCCACUUGGGAUUCAGUUGA